This is a long non-coding RNA of Xenia sp. Carnegie-2017, 106 nucleotides long. RefSeq lists it as uncharacterized. NCBI's taxonomy places the organism in Eukaryota, Metazoa, Cnidaria, Anthozoa, Malacalcyonacea, Xeniidae. The record is from RefSeq and is a predicted model, not a curated record. The transcript is spliced from 3 exons.
AAAAUUAUGCUAUCAGAGAAAAUACUAAUGAAGUAAGGAUUCAAGUUUAACUUCUCGUGGUUUUAACAUGAUUUUCAUUAUGUACUCUUCUUUUAUACGACUGCUU